RNAcentral lists this ribosomal RNA (253 nucleotides) under uncultured bacterium. RNAcentral describes it as "partial 16S ribosomal RNA". It matches the Rfam family "Bacterial small subunit ribosomal RNA", at positions 524 to 776 of the family's 1533-position model. The record is from RNAcentral.
UACGUAGGAUGCAAGCGUUGUCCGGAAUUAUUGGGCGUAAAGCGAACGUAGGCGGCCUUUUAAGUUUGGUCUUAAAGACCGGGGCUCAACCCCGGGAAUGGACUGAAUACUGGGAGGCUGGAGGAUGUCAGAGGAAGGUGGAAUUCCGAGUGUAGCGGUGAAAUGCGUAGAUAUUCGGAGGAACACCAGUGGCGAAAGCGACCUUCUGGGGCAUUCCUGACGCUGAGGUUCGAAAGCUCGGGGAGCAAACAGG